Gallus gallus (chicken) is the source of this 114-nucleotide non-coding RNA. The record is from Rfam. NCBI's taxonomy places the organism in Eukaryota, Metazoa, Chordata, Aves, Galliformes, Phasianidae.
CUGGGCUACGGAGACAUGUAUCCUCAGACUUGGUCAGGCAUGCUGGUGGGGGCCCUCUGCGCUCUUGCCGGCGUGCUGACCAUUGCCAUGCCUGUCCCUGUCAUUGUGAACAAU